Oreochromis aureus is the source of this 886-nucleotide long non-coding RNA. The record is from Ensembl. NCBI's taxonomy places the organism in Eukaryota, Metazoa, Chordata, Actinopteri, Cichliformes, Cichlidae.
GAAGGCAGGAGCGUGAGGUGAACUGAAUUUCAGGAGGGACUCCAGGAAGGAAACCAAGAGAUCAGAUGGAAGUUAUUUGUUGGUGAAGAGUAUAUAAAGACCUGUGUGAGUGUGUUUCACAUCUGUAUCAAACUCUUCAGCCACUCAUCAUGGACAAAAACACGUUGCUGGUCCUUUUGUGUCUGCAGGCGAUCCUGCUCAUCACGGCCUCGUCUGAGAUGACAGCUGAACAGCCGACACCGACAGAGGAGAUAACUUCUGUACACAGCACGAAGGUGAAAAGCCCAAAUGUUAAACAUCUGAAAAAAUGCCGCGUGACACAAGCAGGAUGUCGACAACACCACUCAAAAGCACAGCAGAGGUCACACACAAAGCCACAGCCCUACAGACCCAAAGCUCGUAGAGGGAGUCUGGCUCCAAUUUUGCUACAGUAAAGGAAUGAAGUGAAGGAGUGACCACAUCUAGUGGUGAGUCUCCUGCUUUGUUUCUUCUGAAGAAGAUGAAAUAAAAAGAAAAACAGAAACGAAGAUCUUUAAAGAAACUUUUCUUUGCUGUUUGGCAUUGCGUUACAUUUCAGUGCAAUGCAAAUCAUAUGCAGUACUAACUAUAAAAAUCACAAUAUUUCUCAGAUCAGUGGUAUAUAAGAAAUAUGUGUAUGACAUAAAAAGGUUAUUAAGGCACUACAUAAAUGAAUGUAUCUGAUACAAUUAUAAUUUGAUGUUUAUGUUUAUAAGUCAGUUUUUAAUAUGGCCUUAUUCAUUUUACUGGUUUUGAUGGAAUGAAGAACAAGUUUUCAGUCUUCUAUUGUUGUAACUUUGCACUGUAACUGCUAUUGUUUCAUGAAUUUCAGUUUCAAAUAAAGUCACCCAGAGUUAAAGCAUAAAAA